Lathyrus oleraceus (garden pea) is the source of this 2638-nucleotide RNA transcript. RefSeq lists it as uncharacterized. The transcript has 6 exons. NCBI's taxonomy places the organism in Eukaryota, Viridiplantae, Streptophyta, Magnoliopsida, Fabales, Fabaceae. The record is from RefSeq and is a predicted model, not a curated record.
GUCACAACUGACAUUUGUUAAAGUGCAUUGUUGCCUUGAACAUAGUUAGAUACGUGGCAACAAGUACAGAAACUAAAAUAAAACACUUUUUUCACCAUGAGAGGGAAAAAAUGGAUAAACGUUUUGUCUUCCUUUUGUUACUGUUUCCAUUUCCACUUGCAAAGCUUUGUAAACAAUAUCAUUCAUUCCAAGCUUCCAUGGAUGCUCUCUCUGUGAAGCAAGCAAGCUUUGCAUUUCUGCUAUUCUGUCGUGUCUCGAGAUCCAUAAAUUAUUUUGUUGAAGCUUUGCAAAAAUUUUAAGCUAUUCAGCAAUGCAAACAUAGUCCACUAGCGAGAAUCGCGUCUCGAGAUCCAUAAAUUGUUUUGUUGAAGCUUUGCAAAAAAAUUCUGCUAUUCAGCAAUGCAAACAUAGUCUCCUUGCGAGAAUUGCGUCUCGAGAUCCUUGCAAGCUGCCGCAGCUACAUAUAGAUCACAUGCUUCAUGACUGAAUUUCCGAUUCUGGUCAGCACAAGAUUUGGCAACGGCGCAAGUUUGUCUAAAAACCUAAUUUUAUUCUUCAUCAUAAUCACGCACUUCAUGGAAAGCGACUAGGAAUGAUAUUUCUUACCAUCCAGAAGAGCAGUGACAAGAGGGGCUGAAGUACUUUUAGCAAGAUGCUUGUAGUAUGCAGCUCGUGGAGGCAUGGUGAAGAAGAGAUGUAGAAAAAGUUGGGGUCAAGCUGGGAAGAUGAAGAAAAAUGUCACAAAGUUAUAUUCGGCUACACAUGAGGUUGCAAAUGUGAGUUGGUGUAUGAAUUGUUGAUCCACUAAACUGAUAUAGACCGUGUACAUACAACUCCAACACUAAAUCUUAGGAACAAAUAUGUCCUGAUUUAGAUUUAAAUGAUGAUUAUCUUUCACAAAAAACGGGAUGAAUCAAUCUCAUGUCAUCUGAAUCCCACACCGGAAUUGUUAGAAUGAAUAGCAAGGAAGAUGAGGUAUAAAUAACAAGUGUGUGACACAUUGCAAUAUACUUACCUGGAUGGGGUCAAUGGGUGAUCAUGAAGGCCCAUGGCCUAGGCAAGUGACUUCCAUUGCACUUAGGAGGGGUGCUUGCCUAAGGUCUACCCAAGUGGUGGAACCUACAUCAUAAUUUGUUGCUGUGGGGGCCUGCGUUCGCGCGGCCCUCUUCAAGUUAAGUUUGUAAAAUACUUUUUUAAAAGGGUCACUAGACUUGUAUCAAUCCUGUUCAAAUAAGGAGACAUAAAUAAUUAAGUCUUGCUGUGCUUGACGAGGGUAAGUCUUGCUGUGCUUAACAGGGGUGGGAGUAAUAUAAUGGUUUUUGUUUGUAACUUUUGGGUUUACAUAAUAGAAAAGCUGCUUACAAGUCUUAAUCUUUCUAGAUUUUGUUGGUGAUGUUCCAAUGUGUAAUCUGAUGUUUGGCAGUAGCUCAGUCUGUAUACUCUAUGUGCUUGCACAUUUUGGUGAGGGUGUUGUAUAUCAUCUUUCAUUGGUGAGGUUUUUAAAAGAUGGAACAAAUCAAUUAGCUCAAUACAGUUCCUCUAUUGCAAGGUGCACGAUGAAUAUCACUGGCAUGUCUUUCAAGUGUUGGUAAUCAGAAAACAUCAUUAGUAUUCAUCUAGUUUGCCAUCUCUGUAGACACAUAGCACUCGUAAUUGCAAUUAUAAAAAUAGGUGUUUCUUAUUGCUUCUUACAUGUCAUUCAUGCACACACAACCAAUUAAUAGAAUAAAAAUUGUAUAUAAUUUAGUUUGGCUUGAUCAUAUCCAACAAGAUCUGGAUCUCAUUUUUCGAUAAUCCAUUCUUUAAACUAUUUAGUUCCUCAGAAAUGGAACAUGCCAGGCAAAUAGAUACCUCAGAACCAAAACAACGUAUUCUUUUUAUAUUAGAAACAAAGUGAUUAAAGAAGUUUUAUAUUUAGCAACAGUGUUUGGCACAAGUGUGACAAGUUUACUAAUUUAAAAGGAAAACUCAUGUUGCUUAUAUAUAGAGUUUCAAAUAAGAUAUUAAGAAUGUUAGGAAGUUGAUGAUAUAAUGGAUGGAGAUUUUGGAGUAUUCCCAUUAUUGAAUGAAGGUUAUGAACUCACUGCCUAAAGAAGUUACUGGGACAAACAUUUCUAUCUUGUGAAGAGAAGUUGGAGAAUUUCAAUGAGUUGCAUUGUGUCGACAGAGGGAGAAAGUAAUUUGUCGACUCCAUAAGUGGGCUCAAGCAACCAUCUUGAAGUUGGUUCAAACAUUUUUAUUGUACAAUUCAAAAACGGUUUCCAACAUUCAGCCUGUGUUCGUUGUGGUGAUAUCGAUUCAGCUCUAGGGAAUUUCGAAGAGAUGAAAGAUCCAGAAGCUUAUGGGAGAAAGUUUCAUUAGGACUAGCAUAUUUCAGUGGUAGAGACUGCAAAUUGCAUUUUAAAUACAGGGGCUAGGAAAGCUCCACGACAAUUGAAAGGUUUUGCAAAACUGAAGAAUUUAACACAAGGUUACUCUAUUCAAAAGCAAGCCAGUAUAACUAUAUCAUACCACACUAACUCUUAACUUUUCACAAAAUCUUUCAAAUAACAGUAAAUUAUACAUCAACCCAAUUCUAUUUUCUAUAUUGUCACAUUUUUAUACAAAAGCAUCAUAGUAAUAUUCAAUCUAACACCAA